GCUGGCACUCGCAAGNNGACGCACCAGCUUGAGGGGCUGGCACUCGCAAGAGUGUGGGGGUUCGAAUCCCCCCUUCCGCACCA
This 83-nucleotide transfer RNA is filed under the name Candidatus Rokuibacteriota bacterium. Its description in RNAcentral is "Candidatus Rokubacteria bacterium (groundwater metagenome) tRNA-Leu". Lineage: Bacteria; Candidatus Rokuibacteriota. The record is from RNAcentral.